This 500-nucleotide ribosomal RNA is filed under the name uncultured bacterium. RNAcentral describes it as "partial 16S ribosomal RNA". It matches the Rfam family "Bacterial small subunit ribosomal RNA", at positions 30 to 523 of the family's 1533-position model. The record is from RNAcentral.
AUUGAACGCUGGCGGCAUGCCUUACACAUGCAAGUCGAACGGCAGCACGGGAGCAAUCCUGGUGGCGAGUGGCGAACGGGUGAGUAAAGUAUCGGAACGUGCCCAGUCGUGGGGGAUAACGUAGCGAAAGUUACGCUAAUACCGCAUACGAUCUAUGGAUGAAAGCGGGGGAUCGCAAGACCUCGCGCGAUUGGAGCGGCCGAUAUCAGAUUAGGUAGUUGGUGGGGUAAAGGCUCACCAAGCCGACGAUCUGUAGCUGGUCUGAGAGGACGACCAGCCACACUGGGACUGAGACGCGGCCCAGACUCCUACGGGAGGCAGCAGUGGGGAAUUUUGGACAAUGGGCGAAAGCCUGAUCCAGCCAUGCCGCGUGCAGGAUGAAGGCCUUCGGGUUGUAGACUGCUUUUGUACGGAACGAAAAGGUUUGGCCUAAUAAGCUGAGCUCAUGACGGUACCGUAAGAAUAAGCACCGGCUAACUACGUGCCAGCCGCCGCGGUAA